GUCCCUAUCGUCUAGGGGUCAGGACACCGCCCUUUCACGGCGGUAACACGGGUUCAAAUCCCGUUGGGGACGCCA
Molecule: transfer RNA, 75 nt
Filed under: Candidatus Eiseniibacteriota bacterium
Lineage: Bacteria; Candidatus Eiseniibacteriota
Description: tRNA-Glu
Rfam family: tRNA
About the family: Transfer RNA (tRNA) molecules are approximately 80 nucleotides in length.
Source: RNAcentral